RNAcentral lists this ribosomal RNA (939 nucleotides) under Acinetobacter calcoaceticus. RNAcentral describes it as "bacterial SSU rRNA". It matches the Rfam family "Bacterial small subunit ribosomal RNA", at positions 202 to 1126 of the family's 1533-position model. Lineage: Bacteria; Pseudomonadati; Pseudomonadota; Gammaproteobacteria; Moraxellales; Moraxellaceae. The record is from RNAcentral.
GCAGGGGAUCUUCGGACCUUGCCCUAAUAGAUGAGCCUAAGUCGGAUUAGCUAGGUGGUGGGGUAAAGGCCUACCAAGGCGACGAUCUGUAGCGGGUCUGAGAGGAUGAUCCGCCACACUGGGACUGAGACACGGCCCAGACUCCUACGGGAGGCAGCAGUGGGGAAUAUUGGACAAUGGGGGGAACCCUGAUCCAGCCAUGCCGCGUGUGUGAAGAAGGCCUUAUGGUUGUAAAGCACUUUAAGCGAGGAGGAGGCUACUUUAGUUAAUACCUAGAGAUAGUGGACGUUACUCGCAGAAUAAGCACCGGCUAACUCUGUGCCAGCAGCCGCGGUAAUACAGAGGGUGCAAGCGUUAAUCGGAUUUACUGGGCGUAAAGCGCGCGUAGGCGGCUAAUUAAGUCAAAUGUGAAAUCCCCGAGCUUAACUUGGGAAUUGCAUUCGAUACUGGUUAGCUAGAGUGUGGGAGAGGAUGGUAGAAUUCCAGGUGUAGCGGUGAAAUGCGUAGAGAUCUGGAGGAAUACCGAUGGCGAAGGCAGCCAUCUGGCCUAACACUGACGCUGAGGUGCGAAAGCAUGGGGAGCAAACAGGAUUAGAUACCCUGGUAGUCCAUGCCGUAAACGAUGUCUACUAGCCGUUGGGGCCUUUGAGGCUUUAGUGGCGCAGCUAACGCGAUAAGUAGACCGCCUGGGGAGUACGGUCGCAAGACUAAAACUCAAAUGAAUUGACGGGGGCCCGCACAAGCGGUGGAGCAUGUGGUUUAAUUCGAUGCAACGCGAAGAACCUUACCUGGCCUUGACAUAGUAAGAACUUUCCAGAGAUGGAUUGGUGCCUUCGGGAACUUACAUACAGGUGCUGCAUGGCUGUCGUCAGCUCGUGUCGUGAAUGUUGGGUUAAGUCCCGCAACGAGCGCACCCCUUUUCCUUAUUUGCCAGCGAGU